ACCGGAAGGUGUGCUUGGAAA
This 21-nucleotide ribosomal RNA is filed under the name Isthmohyla tica (Starrett's treefrog). RNAcentral describes it as "partial 12S ribosomal RNA". The record is from RNAcentral. Lineage: Eukaryota; Metazoa; Chordata; Amphibia; Anura; Hylidae.